Molecule: unclassified non-coding RNA, 237 nt
Filed under: Glomerales sp.
Lineage: Eukaryota; Fungi; Glomeromycota; Glomeromycetes; Glomerales; Glomeraceae
Description: partial contains 5.8S ribosomal RNA and internal transcribed spacer 2
Rfam family: 5.8S ribosomal RNA (bases 1-65)
Source: RNAcentral
GUGAAUCAUCGAAUCUUUGAACGCAAAUUGCACUCUCCUCGGAGAGUAUGCCUGUUUGAGGGUCGGCCUAAAAAAAACGGCAUUGUUGCCGUUUUUUGGUUACUUUCGUCGGAGAUGGGUUUACUUAAAUUCUGGUUUUAGCGACCUAAAAAAUUUUUUUUCGAUUUUAAGAAUGUUUUUAAGAUUUUUCUUUUUAGUUUAAGGUUUCGAAUGUCUUUUUAAACGUGGCCGUUAUAU